Molecule: RNA transcript, 3183 nt
Organism: Abrus precatorius (Indian licorice)
Lineage: Eukaryota; Viridiplantae; Streptophyta; Magnoliopsida; Fabales; Fabaceae
Exons: 8
Source: RefSeq, a predicted model, not a curated record
AAAGAAGGAUAAACCCUGGAGCUUGAAACUGCUCCUGGCAAUAGGAGAUGGUGGAAGAAAGGCAAUUGGUGGGUUGAAGUGCAUGUUUUCUUUCCGCAACUUCCUUGAAACAAAUGGUGGAUCUCACUUGUACUAACACAACCUUUUGUAUAAGCAAAAACCCCCCAAAAUAGGCACUGCAAUGGCAUCAGGGGACCCAAAAUUACCACCCCAAUCCCAACGGUUGCAAAUUUAUCCCAAUUUAAAUUCUGGGGUCUCCUCUUUCUGGAGAGAAAAGUAUGAAAGAGAAGCCAAGAGGUAUUGGGAUGUUUUCUAUAAGCGCCACAAGGACCGAUUUUUCAAAGAUCGGCACUACUUGGAUAAGGAAUGGGGCGAUUACUUUUCUGGAGGAGGAAGGAAAGUGAUUUUGGAGGUAUAUUUGGCCAGAUUUUACUCUUUCUGCUUCCAUGGUUUAUAAGUUUUUCAUUUAAUUGAAUCAAUAAUCAUAAUGGUGAGCAUAUAUGCAUGCUACAAUGUUGCUGUUGGAUUAUUUUGAAAGGAUAAUUAUUGUGGCCUUUAGUUUUGCAUGGAACGGACUGUGAUCACGGAGAUAGAACCUUCCCACGUUUGUUUUUUUGUCUUCUAUUCAUCAUUUGUGAUGGUCACUUAUUGAUGAAGUUCAUGUUCUGAUUAUGCUUCUUUUCAGGAGGCCUUUGCUCUAGUAUGUUUCUUAAUGUGUUAUGCUGUUUGCUAAACAGGCUGGCUGUGGAGCUGGAAAUACUAUCUUUCCCGUGAUAGCAUCAUAUCCAGAUGCUUUUGUUUAUGCAUGUGAUUUCUCACCACGAGCUAUUGAAUUGGUUAAGACACAUGAAGACUUCAAGGAAUCCCAUGUUAGUGCUUUUGUCUUCGAUUUGACAGCUGAUGAUCUUUGCAAAGAGAUUCUUCCAUCGUCUAUUGAUAUUGUUACAAUGGUAUCUGAAAUUCUGAAUGGCAAUUUAAUUUUUUAAAGUUUAUGUGGAGUGAUUAUGGGAUUGCAUUUGCAUUUUUUGUUGUUGGAAGCUAUCAUGUUCUUGCCUUAUUUCAGAUAACUUUUGUGCUCUUAUUAUUGAGAAAUAGUCUUGUCUCUUGCUUAAGUAGCUGACAUUGUAAGCAGAUAUUUAUGUUGUCUGCAGUGUCCCCAGAAAAGAUGCCUCUAGUUUUGCAAAAUGUUAGAAAAGUUAUCAAGCCAAAUGGAUAUGUGUUGUUCCGAGACUAUGCUACUGGAGACCUUGCUCAGGAAAGAUUCUCUAACAAGGAUCAAAAGAUUAGUGAUAACUUUUAUGUUAGAGCGUGCUUACUAUUUUUCAAAUGAGUUCUUGACAAAUUUAUUCAAAGAAAAUGGUUUUGAUGUUCACAAACUUGAUGUAUACUGCAAACAAGUCGAAAACCGCUCAAGGGAGUUGGUAAUGAAUCGGUAAUAUAUUAUAUUACAAGUUCCCUUUGCUUAUUUUUAUAUGGCAAAAUAGUUUUAUAUAAGUCGUGUUUUUGCUUCCGGUAACCUAUCAUAUAAUAUGCUUUCUUCUUGAACUUCUGUGGGUUAGAUUUUAGCACUAUGAGAUUUCAUUAGUUUGCCUUCACCCAUUGUCUCACACAAAGGGGGAGGAGGGAUAUCUUCUUCUGACUCUAAUAAUUCCGUUUUAUACUCCUAUAUUUGUUGCUUUCAGGCGGUGGGUCCAAGCUGUAUUCAGCUUAUCAGAUAGUUCCAACUCUUCUUCCAGUAAAGAAAAUGAGACUAAUCAUCCUGAUAGAGAUAAUGUUCAUAAGAAAAUCAAGCAAAAUAAUUUGAUUGGUGGUUCAAAUGACUCUGCAAUUGAUUUGUCUGAGGGUGUGGCAAUGGACAUGUUUGGAGUCUUACCUUCCAGUGAGUAUGAGGUAAGGCUCUCUCACCUUUGUUUGGUUGUUACUGGUUCUCUUAAGUUCUAACAAAUUUUCUGGGUGUUUGAACGUAUCCUGUUCAAGCUUGCUUCUUUCAGAUGUUCUACAAAAUUUGAAUAUCUGCUGGCAGUUGUGAUGGCCUUUUUUCUUUUCCCUCUCUAGAAAUCUCUUUUUAACAUUGAUUUUCUUAUGUGCACAAAUGUUUUCCCUUUUCAUCAUUUGAGUUUUUUGUGUUAGGUUAUUGAGAUCAACCUUAGAGGCUGGACUUUCAAGAUUAGUUUACUUUCAAAAGAGUACCAACACACCUGCAAAUCAACAGGAUUGAUGCUGUGGGAAUCGGCUCGGUUGAUGGCUUCUGUCCUUGCCGAAAACCCUAAUAUUGUUGGAGGGAAAAGGGUCUUGGAGUUGGGGUGUGGCAGUGGGGGAAUCUGCUCUAUGAUUGCUGCUAGAUAUGCUGAUCUAGUAGUUGCUACUGAUGGAGAUAGCUUUGCACUUGACCUACUGGCCAAAAAUGUUGCAUCUAAUGUUGAGUCAUCAUUGCUGACUAAACUAACCACAAAAAAACUGGAGUGGGGAAACGAGGACCACAUGGAAAGCAUAAAGGAAUUGAGUAAUAGAGGGUUUGAUAUCAUCAUGGGCACAGAUGUGACAUAUAUUCCUGAAGCUAUAUUGCCAUUGUUUGGAACUGCAAAAGAACUGAUUGCUUCCAAUGCAAGCAAUGAAAAUGAUAAUGUUCCUGCACUUAUUCUUUGCCACAUAUUUCGCCGUGUAGAUGAACCAACCUUACUUUCUGCUGCAGCACAAUUUGGGUUCAGAUUAGUAGACAAGUGGCCUUCUGAAACUUCAACCAAUUUUUCUCAAAGCAUUAUUGGCAAUUGGUUUAUGGACAAUAGUUUAAAGGAUGAUCUUCCUAGUACAGCAUUAAACAUCUUACUAUUUUGCAAAGAAUGAAGUUCAGUUCAGUAUCUAGCUUCAAUGCAAGUUGGUUUCUUGAUUCUUCUCUUCAUUAUACCAAGUGAGAAGUAGAAUGCAAAUUCCUACUUGAUUCAUUUAAGUGCUCAACAAUCCUUCUGGGCUCAUUUGUAGAAGUUAUGCUAUAAAUUUUGAUGGAGGGUCGUAGAAGAGAGUUCUGUGUACUUUUAUUUUAUUGUUUUUUUAAAUUUUCAUUGUUUUGCUCCCCCCUUGGGAUGCCAUAUAUAUGGACCUAGGUUGUUUUGCCCCCUGCAUCAUUUGCUUGGAAAUGCAAAGGCCUACUUUUUGUUUAGUAAUUAUGAUUGUCAAUUUCGGUUU